This 542-nucleotide ribosomal RNA is filed under the name uncultured Oxalobacteraceae bacterium. RNAcentral describes it as "bacterial SSU rRNA". It matches the Rfam family "Bacterial small subunit ribosomal RNA", at positions 923 to 1474 of the family's 1533-position model. The record is from RNAcentral. Lineage: Bacteria; Pseudomonadati; Pseudomonadota; Betaproteobacteria; Burkholderiales; Oxalobacteraceae.
GCACAAGCGGUGGAACAUGUGGUUUAAUUCGAUGAUACGCGAGGAACCUUACCUGGGCUUAAAUGUGAGACGACGUUACGGGAAAUCGUAAUUCCCUUCGGGGCGUUUUGCAAGGUGCUGCAUGGUUGUCGUCAGCUCGUGCCGUGAGGUGUCGGGUUAAGUCCCAUAACGAGCGCAACCCUUAUCGUUAGUUGCCAGCGGGUAAUGCCGGGGACUCUAGCGAAACUGCCGGUGUAAACCGAGAGGAAGGUGGGGAUGACGUCAAAUCAGCACGGCCCUUAUGUCCAGGGCUACACACGUGUUACAAUGGUCGGUACAGAGGGCAGCUACCCGGUGACAGGAUGCUAAUCUCGAAAGCCGGUCUUAGUUCGGAUUGGAGUCUGCAACUCGACUCCAUGAAGCUGGAAUCGCUAGUAAUCGCGCAUCAGCCACGGCGCGGUGAAUACGUUCCCGGGCCUUGUACACACCGCCCGUCAAGCCAUGGAAGCCGGGGGUACCUGAAGUCUGUAACCGCAAGGAGCGGCCUAGGGUAAAACUGGUGA